This is a long non-coding RNA of Amphimedon queenslandica, 377 nucleotides long. RefSeq lists it as uncharacterized. The record is from RefSeq and is a predicted model, not a curated record. Lineage: Eukaryota; Metazoa; Porifera; Demospongiae; Haplosclerida; Niphatidae. The transcript is spliced from 2 exons.
AGUUCCAUGUGUAUGGCAUUUGCAAUGAAAGGUUUAUUUUUAACUUAUCUCUGUUAAACAGAUAACAUUUCCCCAAGACUAGAUAUAUUAUCAACUCUUUAUUUCCCUUGGCACUACUUAAUGUGACACCAGUAUAAUUCCAGGUCAGUAAAAACUAUUAUUGCUGUAUAAAAUUUGUUUUCGUUAUCUGUAGAAUGACAUUCCUGUCAAAUUAUUUUUAGAGAUGAAAAUAGGCUACAAAGUUCUUUGUAAACAUUAAUGCAAAACUCAACAGAGUAACCUGAAAUCAAAUGUGUGGCUAAACAAGCAUUUAUUCAUGUUUGAACUGUUUUUUUACAUUUUUGUUUGAGUUAUGAACAUUAUAAAUUGAAGUACAA